RNAcentral lists this ribosomal RNA (253 nucleotides) under uncultured bacterium. Its description in RNAcentral is "partial 16S ribosomal RNA". It matches the Rfam family "Bacterial small subunit ribosomal RNA", at positions 524 to 776 of the family's 1533-position model. The record is from RNAcentral.
UACGUAGGGACCAAGCGUUGUUCGGAAUUACUGGGCGUAAAGGGCUCGUAGGCGGCCAACUAAGUCAUGCGUGAAAUCCCUCGGCUUAACCGGGGAACUGCGUGUGAUACUGGAUGGCUUGAGAUUGGGAGAGGGAUGCGGAAUUCCAGGUGUAGCGGUGAAAUGCGUAGAUAUCUGGAGGAACACCGGUGGCGAAGGCGGCAUCCUGGACCAACACUGACGCUGAGGAGCGAAAGCCAGGGGAGCAAACGGG